This 616-nucleotide long non-coding RNA is filed under the name Sorghum bicolor (sorghum). Its description in RNAcentral is "long non-coding RNA (SBIC_LNC014861)". The record is from RNAcentral. Lineage: Eukaryota; Viridiplantae; Streptophyta; Magnoliopsida; Poales; Poaceae.
UAAUUUCAUUUCAUUCCCCACCCAUCCACCGGCCGCCGCUGGUCAGGAGUCGCCUUGCCCUCGCCGUCGUCUCCGUCGUGCGUCAGUCGUGGAGAAGACGAAGGGAGUCCAGCAGGGGCGAGGGGGAGGGCGACGACGGAUCGAUUCCGUCCCCACCAGGCCACCCCUUCGUCUCAGCCUCCGGCAGCGGCAGCGACGAAGCCGAAGCUCCGACAAAGCAGGUAAGCUCCGAGCCGCCCCUGUUCUUCACUUCUUCUUCUUCUCUGUCUCUGUUCUUCUUCUUCUUCUUCUUCUUCUUCUUCUUCUUCUUCAGGUCUGCUGAUCCGCUGCUUUGAUCUGCUCAAGCUCAAGCUUCUCCGUCGCCGUUGACUGCCAGGUAAUCACUAGCUCAGAUCUGCUACUCCUCCUUUGUUCUUCUUCAUUUAUGAUCCGAUCUGAAGUCUUCUUCCUCUAAUCUGCUUCUUGUUUGCUCUGUUAUGGCAGCCGAUUGAGGCUAGGUCUAAGGCCCGUGAGGAGAAAGCCGUCCGCUAGAACUUGCUAGAACUUGAUGUAAUAUGAGAACUUGAACUGUGAUCUAAAAACAUUGAACUAUAUAGAGCUUGGCUGACUGUACUCU